GCCGUAAUUCGAUGGCAAAGCAUCUGCCUUGCAUGCAGAAGACCCCAGGUUCAAAUCCUGCUAUCUCCA
Non-coding RNA from Podarcis lilfordi (Lilford's wall lizard), 69 nucleotides. The record is from the annotation of a GenBank genome assembly. Lineage: Eukaryota; Metazoa; Chordata; Lepidosauria; Squamata; Lacertidae.